AAUGGGUCAGCGACUUAUAUUCUGUAGCAAGGUUAACCGAAUAGGGGAGCCGAAGGGAAACCGAGUCUUAACUGGGCGUUAAGUUGCAGGGUAUAGACCCGAAACCCGGUGAUCUAGCCAUGGGCAGGUUGAAGGUUGGGUAACACUAACUGGAGGACCGAACCGACUAAUGUUGAAAAAUUAGCGGAUGACUUGUGGCUGGGGGUGAAAGGCCAAUCAAACCGGGAGAUAGCUGGUUCUCCCCGAAAGCUAUUUAGGUAGCGCCUCGUGAAUUCAUCUCCGGGGGUAGAGCACUGUUUCGGCAAGGGGGUCAUCCCGACUUACCAACCCGAUGCAAACUGCGAAUACCGGAGAAUGUUAUCACGGGAGACACACGGCGGGUGCUAACGUCCGUCGUGAAGAGGGAAACAACCCAGACCGCCAGCUAAGGUCCCAAAGUCAUGGUUAAGUGGGAAACGAUGUGGGAAGGCCCAGACAGCCAGGAUGUUGGCUUAGAAGCAGCCAUCAUUUAAAGAAAGCGUAAUAGCUCACUGGUCGAGUCGGCCUGCGCGGAAGAUGUAACGGGGCUAAACCAUGCACCGAAGCUGCGGCAGCGACGCUUAUGCGUUGUUGGGUAGGGGAGCGUUCUGUAAGCCUGUGAAGGUGUGCUGUGAGGCAUGCUGGAGGUAUCAGAAGUGCGAAUGCUGACAUAAGUAACGAUAAAGCGGGUGAAAAGCCCGCUCGCCGGAAGACCAAGGGUUCCUGUCCAACGUUAAUCGGGGCAGGGUGAGUCGACCCCUAAGGCGAGGCCGAAAGGCGUAGUCGAUGGGAAACAGGUUAAUAUUCCUGUACUUGGUGUUACUGCGAAGGGGGGACGGAGAAGGCUAUGUUGGCCGGGCGACGGUUGUCCCGGUUUAAG
Molecule: ribosomal RNA, 898 nt
Filed under: Escherichia coli
Lineage: Bacteria; Pseudomonadati; Pseudomonadota; Gammaproteobacteria; Enterobacterales; Enterobacteriaceae
Also listed under: 2 other names
Description: partial 23S ribosomal RNA
Rfam family: Bacterial large subunit ribosomal RNA
Source: RNAcentral